UACGUAGGGCGCAAGCGUUAUCCGGAAUUAUUGGGCGUACAGAGCUCGUAGGCGGUUUGUCGCGUCUGCCGUGAAAGUCCGGGGCUCAACUCCGGAUCUGCGGUGGGUACGGGCAGACUAGAGUGAUGUAGGGGAGACUGGAAUUCCUGGUGUAGCGGUGGAAUGCGCAGAUAUCAGGAGGAACACCGAUGGCGAAGGCAGAUCUCUGGGCCGUAACUGACGCUGAGGAGCGAAAGCAUGGGGGAGCGAACAGG
RNAcentral lists this ribosomal RNA (254 nucleotides) under uncultured bacterium. RNAcentral describes it as "partial 16S ribosomal RNA". It matches the Rfam family "Bacterial small subunit ribosomal RNA", at positions 524 to 776 of the family's 1533-position model. The record is from RNAcentral.